Molecule: ribosomal RNA, 120 nt
Filed under: uncultured bacterium
Lineage: Bacteria
Description: partial 16S ribosomal RNA
Rfam family: Bacterial small subunit ribosomal RNA
Source: RNAcentral
GACGAACGCUGGCGGCGUGCCUAAUACAUGCAAGUCGAGCGGAAUGAUGAAGAAGCUUGCUUCUUCUGAUUUUAGCGGCGGACGGGUGAGUAACACGUGGGCAACCUACCUUGUAGAUUG